GUAGGUGAACCUGCGGAAGGAUCAUUACCGAGUGUCGGGUUUGCCCCCAAGGCGCCCACCUCCAACCCUGUGUCAAUUGUACCUUUUGUGUUGCUUCGGCGGGCCCGUUGCCCGGGUUCACGCCUGGACGACCGCCGGGGGAGUCUACAGCUCUCCGGGCCCGCGCCCGCCGACAGCCUCUUAAAAAUCACAUAAACAAGUCUGAAAUCAUUAAAGAUUAAUUAAAUUAAAACUUUCAACAACGGAUCUC
RNAcentral lists this unclassified non-coding RNA (250 nucleotides) under plant metagenome. Its description in RNAcentral is "partial contains small subunit ribosomal RNA, internal transcribed spacer 1, and 5.8S ribosomal RNA". The record is from RNAcentral.